GUCCUUGUGGCAGGUGGCAGGGGAUGAGGGGCUCCCUUUUCUUGGGGAGCCUGGGCUGGAUGGGCUCUCCCAAGCCCAUCCCCGCCUGAAGUCCCCUCGCCUCCUUGCCGGCAGCGCUGCCUGGGCUCUGCCAACCCUGGCGGUAUGCCUUUAAGAAACAAAAAAUUAAUGCAAAGCUUAUUACCGGCCCGAUGGUUGCUAACGCUGCCUCUCUUCCACUGUCCAAGUGUCUGGAUUUCAGCUUCAGAUGAGUGUGGCCUGCUGGGACUUGGGCUGCCAGUUUAAUUAGUGCUCAGUAAUUUCAAUAAUGAGUGACAAUUCAUUGGGGCUUUUAGGUUGGUCUUCUGUUCAGAAGCAAAUCAAUAAUCCCCAGUUUUUCCCCUUCUUUAAAGACAAGAAAGUGGCAUGUGAGUUACAUCAGACGGAGAAAAUAAAUGAGGAAAAGCCCAGGUCCCUCAGUAACUGGAGAGGCAAUUGGCUUUAAUGGGCCGGGCGGCCUCCCCGGCUGGGGGAUGUUAUUGGAGGAGCAGAAAGGUCAUUAGGAGCGGGAAAGGGGCUCCCAGGAUCCUCCCAGCCAACACUUGGCCCUGCCUGUAACCAUAGUGAUUUGGGUAAAUGAACACAGGUAGACGGAUUACUCCCCGAAUCCCCAGGCUGCCCAGAUUAUUGCCUCUGAAGAUAGCAAAACAAUUGAGGCUAAUUGUAUGAGAGUGAGUUUAUUACAAACACAAAUGGAAAGGGGGAAGGAAGCAGCCAUAUUUAUUCUUUCCGCGAGCCCCCCUCGCCCUCCUCACCAUUUUCGCGUCUCCGCUGGCGCAGACUCUGGCCUCGCUUGGACCAAGGCUCUUCUCGGUGGCCAACAGUCCAACAGGAAGGAAUCCAGGCCUUUGGGGGGGAGGGGGUGGGGGCUGUGUUUGCUGGAAACCAGAAAGCUCUGUCUGAAGGCGGCCAUAGGCGGACGGUCCUCCUCCCUCUGCCAGAGCACUGAGGGCCUGUCAUGGCGGCCGCGUUGUGGGCGGGGGCACACACUGGAGGGCUUCAAAGCCCGGAGAGCCAUUUAUCUCGGACAAGGCUCUGCCCUCCGCGGUCAGCGGCUGAGAAAGUCUGUCCCUUCCGGUGGGCUCUCACGGUGUGCCCAACUGGCGGCUCUCUUUUGUCGCAGAUACAAAGGAGCCCGUCUGCAUAAGUUAAAACCCCCUACUAUAAAUAUGUUUUGGGCAGAGAGAGAGGAGAGAAGAGAAGAAGAAGAGAAGAGAAGAGAAGAGAAGAGAAGAGAAGAGAAGAGAAGAGAAGAGAAGAGAAGAGAAGAGAAGAGAAGAGAAGAGAAGAGAAGAGAAGAGAAGAGAAGAGAAGAGAAGAGAAGAGAAGAGAAGAGAAGAGAAGAGAAGAGAAGAGAAGAGAAGAGAAGAAGAGAGAAACCAAAGGAUCCUCUCAUUGGAGAAGUUAUAUCUAAAUUUAUCUAUGAAUCCCAAAGUGGGAGCUUUGGCCUCCCUCAUUGAACUCAGACAACUCUUUCAAUAUUAAAAGCUGAGAUUGGAAUAUCCAUGAGUCAGGUUACUGAAACACCUUAAAGUUUGUGAAACGCUCCCCUGGUCAUAAUUCUGGGCAGCAGGUAAUACAAGUGUUGUCAUUUCUGUUAUGUAGAUAAUAAGCCUUGUGCUCCAAAAGGUCAAGCGUCUUGCUCAAGACCACAUAACUAGUCAUUGGAUCAGGGAGUUUAUGAACUCAAGUCAUCCAACUCCAAGUCUAGUGUCUUCUCCACUACACAUUCUGACUCUCAUUGUAGUGAAAUUGGUAUUUGGGGUUUAUUUUUCAUUUGGUUGCCUUAUUAAAAAGCAUACCACAUAAUCUUUGACUACGUCUACCCUUUCCCAAUUAACAUAGAAAAAAUCAAUGUAUGAUCUCUAUUCAUUUGGAUGGAUCCACUAUGAAGAAUUUGGAGAAAGCAUCAUCAUAGCUGAGGAGCCUUGGAGUGACAAUCUUUCCCUUGCUGAUAGCACAAGGACAUAUAGAAACACUGAAACAAAAGCGAUUGAGAAGAGGUACCUUGGAGAGAGGCAUCAGGGUGAAUCCUGAAGGGCAAUGACAUCCUGGCUUCAGACCCCACUCUGUCAGUUCAUGUACCUUCAGUACAUGAACUCUAUGGGCCAACCCUGACCCAUGACUGAUGUCUUGGACUUCAAAGCCAAAUCUGUGCUACUGACUUGGGGCAGCCAGGUGUGACAGUGUAUAGUAUAGGGUCUGCAGUCAGGAAAACUCAUCUUCUAGAGUUCUAACCAGGCGACUCUCAGUAAAUCAUUUAAUACUGUUUGCCUCAGUUUCCUCAUCUGUAAAAAUGAGCUGGACAAGGAAAUAACAGACUCCAGCCCCCCCACUCCUCCCAGUAUCUUCCCCAAAGAGACCACAGAGUAGGGCAUGACUGAGAAAAGCCUAAACAAAUAUAACAGCUGUUGGCUUGUCCUGAAACUUCCUUCAGCUCCUGGGGCUUCGUUCCCCUGA
This is a long non-coding RNA of Monodelphis domestica (gray short-tailed opossum), 2499 nucleotides long. The record is from Ensembl. Lineage: Eukaryota; Metazoa; Chordata; Mammalia; Didelphimorphia; Didelphidae.